Molecule: ribosomal RNA, 192 nt
Filed under: uncultured Pseudomonas sp.
Lineage: Bacteria; Pseudomonadati; Pseudomonadota; Gammaproteobacteria; Pseudomonadales; Pseudomonadaceae
Description: partial 16S ribosomal RNA
Rfam family: Bacterial small subunit ribosomal RNA
Source: RNAcentral
UACGGGAGGCAGCAGUGGGGAAUAUUGGACAAUGGGCGAAAGCCUGAUCCAGCCAUGCCGCGUGAUGUGAAGAAGGCCUUCGGAUUGUAAAGCUCUUUAUGUUGGGAGGAAGGGGAGUUUCCUAAUACGUUAUUGUUUUGACGUUACCGACAGAAUAAGCACCGGCUAACUCUGUGCCAGCAGCCGCGGUAA